ACUAUUUUUCGAUGUCCCAUGCCAUAUCAGAAAAAUAGUGCAUGUUUUCUUGCCUGAAACGGAGAAAACUCUCUACAUUGCUUUUAAAUAAUGUCCAAUCUCAGGCCAAAAAGCACUAUAUUAAGUAGUAACAGACUGUGAGGAGACAGAGGGAGACAGAGACUCGGAGACAGAGACAGACACAGAGAUUCUAGAAUAUGCAAAGACAACAAAUUCCAGAAGGCUAUUACAAAAUGGAAGCAAGAACUAACGUCAGCCAAGUCCUGAUUGAGGAGCCUGAAGAUAUCCACACUGAGCAUUGAUCUGUGCAUCAGUAAGUCUGGAUCUUAAGAGGGAGAUCCACAUUGGAGCACAGGUCUUCUACAAUGUGGUCAUCGUACCCUGUGUGAGGGCCACCAUGGGGUGGGCCCCGUGAACAUGGUGUGAACAACAACAGCAAAAAUGGUCUUGACCUCAGAGAGUUCAUGUCUACUAUGAUGGGAAAGAAAAUAUGCAGUGCCUACCUUUCAGAUGGAGCUGAAGGAGACAGAGUCAGAGGGACUUAAAACCAUAACAACAGCAACAACAAAGUGACAUGGAAUCCAUGAAAGGGGGUGUGACAAAUAAACAACUUUUCAACUGUA
Molecule: long non-coding RNA, 623 nt
Organism: Symphalangus syndactylus (siamang)
Lineage: Eukaryota; Metazoa; Chordata; Mammalia; Primates; Hylobatidae
Source: RefSeq, a predicted model, not a curated record